CAAAAAGAUAAAAAGUUGGGUUGCAAGUUGAAAAAAAACCCAUUGUAACAGCAGCUGAUAUGAAAACUGUCCUUGACUCUAGAACAGGUGUUGCUGGAUGUCAAGUCUCUAAAUGUGCUAACAACACCUCAUAACACAAACUGAUAACACACAAGUUAGAAGGAAUAAAUGAUUUUAAUGAGUUGUGAGUUGAAAAAGAUGGUAUACUACUGAGGAAAGCCUACAACAUCGGCAAGGUAAAAUUUAUUCCUAAUAAAUCCAUAGACCAAAUGGAUUUUGGUAAACGACAGGAAAAUAAAACAGAAUAAUGUGUGAUAAUAUCAGGAUUUGAUUUACCUGUUAAUGUAACUGGAAAAAUCAAAAUGCCUAAAACAGUUGGUGCAGUUAAUCUCCAUGAAGGACCAGAAAUAAAAAACAGAAAAUGGUGAAGACU
This is a long non-coding RNA of Mytilus trossulus (common blue mussel), 433 nucleotides long. RefSeq lists it as uncharacterized. NCBI's taxonomy places the organism in Eukaryota, Metazoa, Mollusca, Bivalvia, Mytilida, Mytilidae. The transcript has 2 exons. The record is from RefSeq and is a predicted model, not a curated record.